This 79-nucleotide transfer RNA is filed under the name Phedimus odontophyllus. RNAcentral describes it as "tRNA-Leu". The record is from RNAcentral. Lineage: Eukaryota; Viridiplantae; Streptophyta; Magnoliopsida; Saxifragales; Crassulaceae.
UCCAAUGGAUUUACAUCUUUCAUUAAUGAAAUUUUUUGAUGUAGUGAGUAAUAGGCUCUGGUUGUUCGCUGUUCAAGAA